GGGACUACAAGGGUAUCUAAUCCUGUUUGAUCCCCGCGCUUUCGUGCCUCAGCGUCAGUUACGAGCCAGAUGACCGCCUUCGCCACCGGUGUUCCUCCUGAUAUCUACGCAUUUCACCGCUACACCAGGAAUUCCAUCAUCCUCUCUCGCACUCAAGUCCUGCCGUAUCAAAGGCACCCUCCGGGUUAAGCCCGGAUAUUUCACCUCUGACGCACAAGACCGCCUACGCACCCUUUAUACCCAGUGAAUCCGGACAACGCUUGGGUCCUACGUAUUACCGCGGCGGCUGGCACGU
This 295-nucleotide unclassified non-coding RNA is filed under the name uncultured fungus. RNAcentral's name for it is "sequence contains ITS1". Lineage: Eukaryota; Fungi. The record is from RNAcentral.